CUUAUUUCUCUCAUAUCUCUACUUUCAAUGAUGUCAAAGAAGAAGAGUGGAAUAGUGUCGGUUUAUUUGAGUGUGUAUGAUUUGACGCCGAUCAAUUGUUAUGCAUAUUGACUCGAGGUUUACCAUUCCGAUGUGCAAGCUUACUAUGUUGUGGCAAAAAAAUCUCUCAGUAAGCAGAUAUCUAUAACCUUAUUUGAACAGAUGAAAGCCGACUUUAGAAAAAGAUAUGGAGGCGGUAAAUCCGAUACUGCUAUUAUGAAAAGUCUCAAUAAGGACUUUGGCCAAUUAUGAAAGAGUGCAUGAAAUAUAUCAUUGAGCAUACAGAAGAGAUCGGAAAGUUGAUCAAAGUGAAGACUCAAGUAUCAGAAGUUAAGAGUAUAAUGUUGGAGAAUUGUUACAAGGUAAAAAUACAUCAACAUGGGGUUUGAAACGUUGCGAAUUUGUUUGUAUUUGCAUCGAUCUAAUCGUUGCCAUAUGAUGUUUACCAUUAUCAUCUUGUUCUAUAAAAUUGGUGAUCACUUCGAGUUGGCCUAGUCGAUAGAGAGUCGUAAAGUCAAGUUUAAGGUGCAUGUUUGUGGCAUACCUUUAUUCUUGGAAGUUUGAACAAAUUUUGAUUAUGUAUUACGAUAUGAACUACUUACAAUUUUGGAAAACUAGGCAACCAACUGUGGAAAUCAAAGUUGAAGAAUAUUCGAACUCAGAUGAAGGAUUUUCUCUUGAGUGAAAGAGGCUUAUUUUGCUUGUGCUUGUACUUAACAUUUAUUAGAAUUUCAACAUGAAUGUUUAUAGUUUCACAAUAUGGAAGUGAGUGACUUACCUAGUUAUAUGUAGGAA
This is a long non-coding RNA of Benincasa hispida (wax gourd), 834 nucleotides long. RefSeq lists it as uncharacterized. The record is from RefSeq and is a predicted model, not a curated record. Lineage: Eukaryota; Viridiplantae; Streptophyta; Magnoliopsida; Cucurbitales; Cucurbitaceae.